CCCAGGGUAACCUAGUGGACAUGGCAUCUGUCUGGUAAGCGGAACACUGUGGGUUCGAUUCCCAUCCCUGGACA
RNAcentral lists this transfer RNA (74 nucleotides) under Cordylochernes scorpioides. RNAcentral describes it as "tRNA-Thr". It matches the Rfam family "tRNA". From Rfam's summary of the family: Transfer RNA (tRNA) molecules are approximately 80 nucleotides in length. Their secondary structure includes four short double-helical elements and three loops (D, anti-codon, and T loops). Lineage: Eukaryota; Metazoa; Arthropoda; Arachnida; Pseudoscorpiones; Chernetidae. The record is from RNAcentral.